UCCAGACUCCUACGGGAGGCAGCAGUGGGGGAUAUUGCACAAUGGGGGGAACCCUGAUGCAGCGACGCCGCGUGAGCGAUGGAGUACUUCGGUAUGUAAAGCUCUGUCAGCAGGGAAGAGAAUGACGGUACCUGACCAAGAAGCCCCGGCUAAAUACGUGCCAGCAGCCGCGGUAAUACGUAUGGGGCAAGCGUUAUCCGGAUUUACUGGGUGUAAAGGGAGCGUAGGCGGCAGGGCAAGCCUGAUGUGAAAGCCCGGGGCUCAACCCCGGGACUGCAUUGGGAACUGCCCCGCUCGAGUGCCGGAGGGGCAGGCGGAAUUCCUAGUGUAGCGGUGAAAUGCGUAGAUAUUAGGAGGAACACCAGUGGCGAAGGCGGCCUGCUGGACGGUGUACUGACGCUGAGGCUCGAAAGCGUGGGGAGCAAACAGGAUUAGAUACCCCAGUA
This 446-nucleotide ribosomal RNA is filed under the name uncultured bacterium. RNAcentral describes it as "bacterial SSU rRNA". It matches the Rfam family "Bacterial small subunit ribosomal RNA", at positions 330 to 792 of the family's 1533-position model. The record is from RNAcentral.